GGCGGAAGCACUGGAAGCAAGAUGGCGGCCGCCGAGACGGUCCUCAAAGGAAAAGCACCAAGGAUUCUCUUUUGUUGAAUUUGUGUUGGCAGAGUUUGGUCAGAUGAAGACUGGGUGGAGAAGUUUGCUG
RNAcentral lists this long non-coding RNA (130 nucleotides) under Theropithecus gelada (gelada). RNAcentral's name for it is "lncRNA (ENSTGEG00000022932.1)". Lineage: Eukaryota; Metazoa; Chordata; Mammalia; Primates; Cercopithecidae. The record is from RNAcentral.